This 348-nucleotide transfer-messenger RNA is filed under the name Candidatus Ornithoclostridium excrementipullorum. It matches the Rfam family "transfer-messenger RNA". Rfam says of the family: Bacterial tmRNA, also known as 10Sa RNA or SsrA, is named for its dual tRNA and mRNA-like properties. Its role is to liberate the mRNA from a stalled ribosome. Lineage: Bacteria; Bacillati; Bacillota; Clostridia; Christensenellales; Christensenellaceae. The record is from RNAcentral. RNAcentral also lists the same sequence under 1 other name.
GGGGCUGUCUCGGCUUCGACAGGGGAACGGACGGGCUCGUAAGCAUACCGAAGGCUCGGCUUCGUAAAAACGGAAACCUAAAAUUAAACGCUAAAAACAAUCAGCAAAUCGCUUACGCUGCCUAAUUGCAGCUAAGCUGUCCCGGGGGAUCUCCACGCUCCCCUACGGACAUCGGUCAGUGGAAAAGGGUCGCGGCGAUGCGCCGCAGUCGACGCGACAAGAUCUUGCGGCUUGCCGGAACAGGCUUUGCGGACGUAGCCUGCACGGGACGAUAAACAUCCGAUAAGUAUGUAGAAAGCGGCCUGAAAAUUUUCUUGGACAGGGGUUCAACUCCCCUCAGCUCCACCA